RNAcentral lists this ribosomal RNA (541 nucleotides) under uncultured bacterium. RNAcentral's name for it is "partial 16S ribosomal RNA". It matches the Rfam family "Bacterial small subunit ribosomal RNA", at positions 355 to 885 of the family's 1533-position model. The record is from RNAcentral.
UGGGGAAUUUUGGACAAUGGGCGCAAGCCUGAUCCAGCCAUGCCGCGUGCGGGAAGAAGGCCUUCGGGUUGUAAACCGCUUUUGUCAGGGAAGAAAUCUUCUGAGUUAAUACCUCGGGAGGAUGACGGUACCUGAAGAAUAAGCACCGGCUAACUACGUGCCAGCAGCCGCGGUAAUACGUAGGGUGCAAGCGUUAAUCGGAAUUACUGGGCGUAAAGCGUGCGCAGGCGGUUUUGUAAGACAGAGGUGAAAUCCCCGGGCUCAACCUGGGAACUGCCUUUGUGACUGCAAGGCUUGAGUGCGGCAGAGGGGGAUGGAAUUCCGCGUGUAGCAGUGAAAUGCGUAGAUAUGCGGAGGAACACCGAUGGCGAAGGCAAUCCCUGGGCCUGCACUGACGCUCAUGCACGAAAAGCGUGGGGAGCAAAACAGGAUUAGAUACCCUGGUAGUCCACGCCCUAAAACGAUGUCAACUGGUUGUUGGGAAAGGUUCCUUCUCAGUAACGUAGCUAACGCGUGAAAGUUGACCGCCUGGGGAGUACGG